Anaerolineae bacterium CG1_02_58_13 is the source of this 84-nucleotide non-coding RNA. Lineage: Bacteria; Bacillati; Chloroflexota; Anaerolineae. The record is from Rfam.
UCCCGCCCCGCGAAAGGUCGCCGAUUGUGGCGGCCCCGCCCCCGUCUGGAAGUGAUGACGGUGUGGCUAGCGGGGCGGGUUGCU